Molecule: long non-coding RNA, 3560 nt
Organism: Homo sapiens (human)
Lineage: Eukaryota; Metazoa; Chordata; Mammalia; Primates; Hominidae
Exons: 10
Source: RefSeq, a predicted model, not a curated record
GCAACGAGAGUGAAACUCCAUCUCAAAAAAAGAAAAAAAGGCUGGACACAGUGGCUCACGCCUGUCAUCCCAGCACUUUGGGAGGCUGAGGCGGACAGAUUGCCUGAGCUCAGGAGUUCGAGACCAGCCUGGCCAACAUGUUGAAACCCCGUCUCUACUAAAAUACAAAAGAAAUUAGCUGGGAGUGGUGGCAGGUGCCUGUAAUCCCAGCUACUCAGGAGGCUGAGGCAGGAGAAUUGCUUGAACCUGGGACACGGAGGUUGCAGUGAGACGAGAUUGCCCCAUCGCACUCCAGCCUGCAACAGAGCGAGACUCCUUAACAAGGGAGGCUAUUCUGACACCUGCUACCAUGUGGAAGAAGCUUGACAAUAUUGACCAAUCAGCCAGACACAGAAAGACAAGUCCUGUGUGAUUCCACUUCGAGGAGGUCCCUCGAGUCACCAGAGUCACAGAGACAGAAAGUAUAACGCAGCAGCGUACACUGCCCAGCCCGGGCUUCGUUUCCACUUUCUGUGACCUGGUGUGGCGGUGAGUCUUACUCAGCGUGCUUGAGCCGAAAUGUCACCAGCUGCCCGCCGACCUGGGAUGACACCUUGGGCCGUUCUGUUUUCUCCCGUUCACCGGUCAAGACGCUGAAACUCGGGAGCUUUUGGCGGCCGAGCUGCGUGAAGGGACUUCAAGAGACGAGGAGACGGACCCCGUGGAAACCUCUCCCACCUGGCGAUUGUAGGGGAAGGAGCUUCUAUUCUUGACCCAGCCCACGACACGUGCCGGGGCUGUCAGCGCCGUGAGAGGCACCUGUGUCUCCCCGAGCUGAGGACGGAUGACAUUUGUACCUACAGGGGUAAAAAAAGAUAAAGCAAACACGGAACAGCACACUCCUCCCGGCCUUCCUUCUUCUGACACCGUUUUCCUUUAGAAGAUCUGAAACUACAAGUCAGGACAUGACACGUGGAGCGUCCCAGGCACGCGCAGCCUCUGCUGUUUGAUUUCCGACGUGAGUCUAUAGUCUUUGGAAAAAAUCUGUGGUUGGCCGGGCGCGGUGGCUCACGCCUGGCAUCCCAGCACUUUGGGAGGCCGAGACCGAAUGAAUGCUUUGUCCUGCCAAGUCCUACGUUGAAACCCUGAACCCCAAGGUCAGAGUGUUACUAGUGGGGGGUCUUUGGGAGGUGAGGAGGUCGUGAUGGUAGAGUCUCACGAAUGGGAUUAGUAUCCCCAUAAAAGGGACACCAGAGCUUCCUCUCUCUCUGUCUCUCUCUCUGUCUCUUUCUCUCCACCCCGCACCAUGGAAUGACACAGCAAGAAGGUUGCCGUCUGCAAGCCAGGAAGGGAGUCCUCACCAGGAGCUGAGAUGUUGCUACUUUGAUCUUGGACCUCCAGUCUUCAUGAUUUCUUUACGUUGCUGUGAAAACCUGGAUGUUGGGGGCUCUGUCUGUGUAUCGUAGACGGAGUUUUGAAUUGCUCCAGUGAAACACAAGUAUUUUACCUUACGCUGUCAACCUGCUGGGGGAAGCGUGAAGACAGUUUAACCUUCUGGCUCCGGUAAUCAUCUUGUCUCAGAGACCUCGGAGAGCUCCCAGAGCCUGGCUGCCACGGUGGUUCUAUAUACCCUCCAGCCCUGGCCUGCCUUGGGACACCCCUCUCCGCCUGCCGGCCCCAGAAUUUCCCCACACACGCGGUCAUCACAGCCCGAGAUGUUUAAUGACGGCUUCAUGCACCAGGCUAUUGCCCUAAACACGGGUGACAGGCCAAACACACACUAAUUACCUAACUCAAUUCAAGCCCGCCUGGCCCCGUGGAAAGGCUGAGCUGGGGAUGCACGCAGGUGCCCCGUCGUUACCUCCGGAUGUCAAAUUGAAGUGAGGUUUUCCCGCAUGAGCGGGGAGAGCUGUUUCUACGCACCAAGAUUUCCACGGUUUGCAGGAGAAAGAGUUUUGUGUCUGCCCUCUGGACAGCCCUGUCAGUUUUAUCAAGCGUGUCUGAUUAAGGAAUAUUUAAAGUGAAAAACAACACAAUCCCGGCCCUCCUACGGCCCCCGCCUUCCCUCUGUGUCUGCGGUCUGUACCCUACGAACGCCUAGGACGCUAGACGGGAUCCCUCCCCACGGAGCUAUAUAGGAAGGGUCUUGCUCUGUCACCUGGGCUGGAGUACCCUGGUGUGAUCACAGCUCACGGUUGCUUCGACCUCCUGGUCUCCAGCGAUCCUCCUGUCUCAGCCUCCCCAAAAUGCUGGGAUUACAGGUGUGAGCCGCCGCUCCUGGCCAGCACCUUCUCUUAUGCGGUACCUGGAAAGUCCCACAUCAUGCGAACGUCUCCACCAGAUGACUCGGAUUCAAAAUAAUGAGGAUGUUUAUGUCUGCAGUCUGUUCCUCUCUUGAAGAUUCAAUUCUAAAUAAUGCAGGUCUCCUAAAUGCUAGCAAAUAGUGUCAUACACUCCUUUUCACAAAAUAGCUUUGACUUUGGGGAAGGCAACUAUCAUUAACUGGGCACCGGCACCUUUAAGCAAAGGUUUCCUGGAAUAACAGUCAGCUAAGGAAAUAUAAUGAGAGCUAUUUCUUGCCCUUCCUGCUCGAAACCGUUGGCUGGAACUCAGCCUGCCCCUCAGCUGAAGCACGUCUGGUUUAAAUUCAUACGGCAUAGAUUUACAAUUUUUAAACGACUGGAUAUGUAUUUUUUUUUUUCUACGCUGUUUGCAGACCUGGUGGACACCUGUUGUUUCUGGUUAGGAAAGGAGGAGAUAAUUGGAUACCAGAGAGAGCCUGACUUCUUGAGCCACCAUUUAACCGGCUGAUUUCAGCAAUAAAUUGGAGGGGGGCGGGGAUGGGGAAAAAAUAACACCCAAGAAACAUUCAGACAGAUUUGCAACCACAAAGUCUGUCUCCUUUAUUAUUUUAAUUUUAUUAUUAUUAUUACUUUUGCUUUGUUUAACAUAAAAACGAUCUAGGCGAGUCCUUCUGGGCUGAUGUGUAUGUGCUUUUUCCUGCCUGGCUAUCCUGUAGCUUUAUCUAAGGCAAAUCGGAGUACGUGUAAAUAAAUUAGUUCAACCAUUGUGGAAGACAGCGUGGCGAUUCCUCAAGGAUGUAGAACUAGAAAUACCGUUUGACCCAGCCAUCCCGUUACUGGGUAUAUACCCAAAGGAUUAUAAAUCACUCUACCAUAAAGACACAUGCACACGUAUGUUUAUUGAGGCACUGUUCACAACAGCAAAGACUUGGAACCAACCCAAAUGCCCAUCAAUGAUAGACUGGAUACAGAGAAUGUGGCACACAGACACCAUGGAAUACUAUGCAGCCACGAAAAAGGAUGGGUUCAUGUCCUUUGCAGGGACAUGGAUGAAGCUGGAAACCAUCAUUCUCAGCAAACUCGCACAGGAACAGAAAACCACACACCGCAUGUUCUCACUCCUAAGUGGGAGCUGAACGAUGAGAACACAGGGACGCAGGGAGGGGAACAUCACACACCGGGGCCUGUCAGUGGGUUGCGGGCCAAGGAGUGGGAUUGCAUUAGGAUGCUAUCCUAAUGCUAACAAAUAUCUAAUCCAUCCAGGGCUUAACACCUAGA